Molecule: ribosomal RNA, 249 nt
Filed under: uncultured bacterium
Lineage: Bacteria
Description: partial 16S ribosomal RNA
Rfam family: Bacterial small subunit ribosomal RNA
Source: RNAcentral
GCAAGUCGAACGAGAAAGCAACUUCGGUUGUGAUUAAAGUGGCGAACGGGUGAGUAACGCGUAGGUAAUCUGCCCUAUAGUCGGGGAUAAACACUGGAAACGGUGUCUAAUACCGGAUGUGAACGGAUACUUCAUGGUAUCCAGUUUAAAGUAUUUUUAUGCUAUAGGAUGAGCCUGCGUCGCAUUAGCUAGUUGGUAAGGUAAGGGCUUACCAAGGCAACGAUGCGUAGCGGAUUUGAGAGAGUGAUC